This 346-nucleotide long non-coding RNA is filed under the name Equus asinus (donkey). RNAcentral's name for it is "lncRNA (ENSEASG00005025929.1)". The record is from RNAcentral. Lineage: Eukaryota; Metazoa; Chordata; Mammalia; Perissodactyla; Equidae.
GAGGGAAUUACCAACCCUGGAAAACCACUUUCUAUCCAUAAACUGCACAGAAGGUUCCAUGUCUUGCUCUGGAAUGCCACCCUAGUGGGUCCUCCCAGCAGAGAUCCUUUGGGAGAAAGACCCGUGUGCGGAUCACAGCAGCUGCGUCAGCGCACAGCCAGACUCCAUUUCAGAAGCUGUUUCUUACCCUCGAUCAAGAGCGAUACAGAAGCAGACGAUCCUCCAUCUGACAUAUUGUCAGAAGCUCAAUAGCAGCCCAAUGCUACGUCACAUCACCUACGUCAUUCACAUCACCUCAUCACCCCACAGAGGCAUUUUAUCAUUUCAUAUCAUCACAAGAUGAAGG